This 253-nucleotide ribosomal RNA is filed under the name uncultured bacterium. RNAcentral describes it as "partial 16S ribosomal RNA". It matches the Rfam family "Bacterial small subunit ribosomal RNA", at positions 524 to 776 of the family's 1533-position model. The record is from RNAcentral.
UACAGAGGGGGCAAGCGUUGUUCGGAAUUACUGGGCGUAAAGGGCGCGUAGGCGGCCUGCUAAGUCGGACGUGAAAUCCCCCGGCUCAACCGGGGAACUGCACGGGAAACUAGCAGGCUUGAGUUCGGGAGAGGGAAGCGGAAUUUCGGGUGUAGCGGUGAAAUGCGCAGAUAUCCGAAGGAACACCGGUGGCGAAGGCGGCUUCCUGGACCGACACUGACGCUGAGGCGCGAAAGCUAGGGGAGCAAACGGG